RNAcentral lists this ribosomal RNA (252 nucleotides) under uncultured bacterium. Its description in RNAcentral is "partial 16S ribosomal RNA". It matches the Rfam family "Bacterial small subunit ribosomal RNA", at positions 100 to 354 of the family's 1533-position model. The record is from RNAcentral.
CGGGGUGAGUAACGCGUGGGCAACCUGCCUUAUACAGGGGGAUAACAGCUGGAAACAGCUGCUAAUACCGCAUAAGCGCACAGCGGCGCAUGACGCAGUGUGAAAAACUGAGGUGGUAUAAGAUGGGCCCGCGUCUGAUUAGCUGGUUGGGAGGGUAACGGCCUACCAAGGCGACGAUCAGUAGCCGGCCUGAGAGGGCGGACGGCCACAUUGGGACUGAGACACGGCCCAGACUCCUACGGGAGGCAGCAG